This 1386-nucleotide ribosomal RNA is filed under the name Salmonella enterica subsp. enterica serovar Enteritidis. RNAcentral's name for it is "partial 23S ribosomal RNA". It matches the Rfam family "Bacterial large subunit ribosomal RNA", at positions 1432 to 2803 of the family's 2925-position model. Lineage: Bacteria; Pseudomonadati; Pseudomonadota; Gammaproteobacteria; Enterobacterales; Enterobacteriaceae. The record is from RNAcentral.
AAUAUUCCCGUACUUGGUGUUACUGCGAAGGGGGGACGGAGAAGGCUAUGUUGGCCGGGCGACGGUUGUCCCGGUUUAAGCGUGUAGGCUGGUUUUCCAGGCAAAUCCGGAAAAUCAAGGCUGAGGCGUGAUGACGAGGCACUACGGUGCUGAAGCAACAAAUGCCCUGCUUCCAGGAAAAGCCUCUAAGCAUCAGGUAACAUCAAAUCGUACCCCAAACCGACACAGGUGGUCAGGUAGAGAAUACCAAGGCGCUUGAGAGAACUCGGGUGAAGGAACUAGGCAAAAUGGUGCCGUAACUUCGGGAGAAGGCACGCUGACACGUAGGUGAAGUGAUUUACUCAUGGAGCUGAAGUCAGUCGAAGAUACCAGCUGGCUGCAACUGUUUAUUAAAAACACAGCACUGUGCAAACACGAAAGUGGACGUAUACGGUGUGACGCCUGCCCGGUGCCGGAAGGUUAAUUGAUGGGGUCAGCGCAAGCGAAGCUCCUGAUCGAAGCCCCGGUAAACGGCGGCCGUAACUAUAACGGUCCUAAGGUAGCGAAAUUCCUUGUCGGGUAAGUUCCGACCUGCACGAAUGGCGUAAUGAUGGCCAGGCUGUCUCCACCCGAGACUCAGUGAAAUUGAACUCGCUGUGAAGAUGCAGUGUACCCGCGGCAAGACGGAAAGACCCCGUGAACCUUUACUAUAGCUUGACACUGAACAUUGAGCCUUGAUGUGUAGGAUAGGUGGGAGGCUUUGAAGUGUGGACGCCAGUCUGCAUGGAGCCGACCUUGAAAUACCACCCUUUAAUGUUUGAUGUUCUAACGUGGACCCGUUACCCGGGUUGCGGACAGUGUCUGGUGGGUAGUUUGACUGGGGCGGUCUCCUCCUAAAGAGUAACGGAGGAGCACGAAGGUUGGCUAAUCCUGGUCGGACAUCAGGAGGUUAGUGCAAUGGCAUAAGCCAGCUUGACUGCGAGCGUGACGGCGCGAGCAGGUGCGAAAGCAGGUCAUAGUGAUCCGGUGGUUCUGAAUGGAAGGGCCAUCGCUCAACGGAUAAAAGGUACUCCGGGGAUAACAGGCUGAUACCGCCCAAGAGUUCAUAUCGACGGCGGUGUUUGGCACCUCGAUGUCGGCUCAUCACAUCCUGGGGCUGAAGUAGGUCCCAAGGGUAUGGCUGUUCGCCAUUUAAAGUGGUACGCGAGCUGGGUUUAGAACGUCGUGAGACAGUUCGGUCCCUAUCUGCCGUGGGCGCUGGAGAACUGAGGGGGGCUGCUCCUAGUACGAGAGGACCGGAGUGGACGCAUCACUGGUGUUCGGGUUGUCAUGCCAAUGGCACUGCCCGGUAGCUAAAUGCGGAAGAGAUAAGUGCUGAAAGCAUCUAAGCACGAAACUUGCCCCGAG